UAUGUGGCAGUAUAGUGUGAGGUAGAUAAUCAAUCAAGAUCAUGCUUUUUGAUUGGUCUCUCAAAUGGGCUGGUUUCCUAUAAAAAGCCUCAGUUCUACAACUGUGCACCCCUCUGACUUCAGGCAUUGGUUGUCCCUGGCUGUCUACUUCCGUGUUUUCUGUGCUUUACGGCAGCACGGAUAGUUUUAUACCGAACCACAGAUCGACACAACUUAUAAGUGACGGUGACUUUUGCAAAGGUCCAGAGGCUUUCCCUCCAAUGAGCUGUAGUCCAGCUCCAAGUGUGAUUCUGCUGCUCUGCCCAGCUCUUUUGCAUUACUACUGUUGCUGGCUGCUUUGGUUGUGGGCAUGUGCCUGGCCCGCUGCUCGAUGUGAUUCCCCAAAGACUGAUUCUGGAGUUAAGCGGGACCCGAUUCAGCUGCCACUGAAAGGCCAUACUUAAAUUGCCCAAGGAACAUUUGUUUUUUUUGUUGUUUUUGUAUUGUUCAUUAUAUAUUUUAACAUUCUGUGUCUAGGAGCUGAUUGUCAGAGCUGUGGUGGUGGAUCCUCUGGUUGUGGUUUCUUUUUGGUUUGAGGUGCAUUGCUUGUUUCAUGAUGUUGUGAGUUUUGUUUAUUUUAGUUUCCCUUAAGUUGUUUCCACUGUUGACCACAACUCUUGGCCCAGCUAUGUUUUACAUGAUUGUGACUUUAAGAU
Fundulus heteroclitus (mummichog) is the source of this 695-nucleotide long non-coding RNA. RefSeq lists it as uncharacterized. The record is from RefSeq and is a predicted model, not a curated record. Lineage: Eukaryota; Metazoa; Chordata; Actinopteri; Cyprinodontiformes; Fundulidae. The transcript is spliced from 3 exons.